Pseudophryne corroboree (corroboree frog) is the source of this 1187-nucleotide long non-coding RNA. RefSeq lists it as uncharacterized. The record is from RefSeq and is a predicted model, not a curated record. The transcript is spliced from 2 exons. Lineage: Eukaryota; Metazoa; Chordata; Amphibia; Anura; Myobatrachidae.
GCUAAUUUUCAAGUGUAAUAUGCUCUAAAAAGACACAAAGACAUUCUCGGCCUCUGGCCACUGUUAGUGAAGCCUCGGAUGCUGAUGAUGCUGGUAAGUACAUUAGCAUUGGGUGUGUUUUUACUAAAAUGUUGAUCCAAUAUUAAUUGUUAUUGAUGUAUUUUUAAAGGUCCAUCAACACACGUAAUGCCUACGUGGAAGCGCAGUCUGGGAGUGUCUUCCAGAGCAACCCAAGAGCCUCCACCACAUCAAAGAAUCUCACAGGUCUCAGACGUGCCCCCACAGCAACUGCUCGACAGUCCGCCGCCCAUGUCAACCCAAGUCCAAGACCUGCCUGCCGACAAUAUGCUUCAGCUAAGUCAGCCAGGACAACUGCCUGAACCAGACAGUAAGGAAACAUGUACCCUCAACCUCACUGCAAUACCACCACAUGACCAAACACCCACACAGUUUGGUACUCCGCCCACUCAACAAACACUUGCGCAGGGCAGAAGCACAACCACACUUACACCACAGGCUCAAGACCAGGCUUUUUGGAAUAGCUGGUCCACCCAGCAAGCAAAUAAUUUAGAAUGUUUGUGAAGGCAAACACAAUGUAUUUCAAGUAUAGCCCAUCACGUUCCUAGACUCAGCAGAAGCAACAGCAGACAAACUGCAGAACUAACCAGGAUGGCCAACACCCUAGAAUUAUUGAGGGCAGACACCAAUCGUAUGAUAGACACAUUUCAACGAGUCAUAGAUGACAAUCACAGGCUCCAUCAAGCCUACUUGCAGAUCAUAACUGCAACACAAAAUACCCAAGACACCAUGGUCAGAAUCAUGGAGAGCCACACGUCUGCCACAAGAGAGUUAAAUGUAACUCUUACAACCCUUACCCAACAUCUCAGUCAUCAAGGGGAGCAGACCAGUUCAAGUUCCUCAACCACAACCCCCUUAGUGACACCUGUAACGUCCCCACCCAGACGUUCAGGCCGAACAUGACCAUACACCAGUGGGAAAGGGCCUUCCAGCUCAAGAGGACAACCUGCUAAAUAAAUGCAAAGUGUUGGAAAUAUUUUUUUAUUUUUUUUUUGCUAGUUGCAUUGUUGUUUUUGUGUACACAAUUCAGAAAUGGGUUUACUUAGGAUAUCAAAUGUACUUUUGAUACACAUUCACAAGUAAUAACAAAUUAAAACAUCCAAAAAUUG